UUAAAUUGAAGAGUUUGAUCAUGGCUCAGAUUGAACGCUGGCGGCAGGCCUAACACAUGCAAGUCGGACGGUAGCACAGAGAGCUUGCUCUCGGGUGACGAGUGGCGGACGGGUGAGUAAUGUCUGGGGAUCUGCCCGAUAGAGGGGGAUAACCACUGGAAACGGUGGCUAAUA
This 174-nucleotide ribosomal RNA is filed under the name Pantoea agglomerans Tx10. RNAcentral's name for it is "partial 16S ribosomal RNA". It matches the Rfam family "Bacterial small subunit ribosomal RNA", at positions 1 to 168 of the family's 1533-position model. The record is from RNAcentral. Lineage: Bacteria; Pseudomonadati; Pseudomonadota; Gammaproteobacteria; Enterobacterales; Erwiniaceae.